GCUCCUGUAGCUCAGUUGGAUAGAGCACAAGUUUCCUAAACUUGGGGUCGUAGGUUCGAUUCCUAUCAGGGGUACCA
Molecule: transfer RNA, 77 nt
Filed under: Deltaproteobacteria bacterium
Lineage: Bacteria; Pseudomonadati; Myxococcota; Myxococcia
Description: tRNA-Arg
Rfam family: tRNA
About the family: Transfer RNA (tRNA) molecules are approximately 80 nucleotides in length. Their secondary structure includes four short double-helical elements and three loops (D, anti-codon, and T loops).
Source: RNAcentral